Molecule: long non-coding RNA, 527 nt
Organism: Entelurus aequoreus (snake pipefish)
Lineage: Eukaryota; Metazoa; Chordata; Actinopteri; Syngnathiformes; Syngnathidae
Exons: 3
Source: RefSeq, a predicted model, not a curated record
UGAGACAUUCUUCCAAUCGUAUGAUGUCAUCUUUGUUGUUUCCUUUGUCUAUAAUUUUUUUUCCAUCCUUUUGUUUGGUUUGAACUCAAUUAUAAGCUUAACAUGUUAUGUGUACCACAGAAAGUGUUGUGCAAACUGAAGAGGAAGAUCUUACCAGAGUGGACAAACACUAUUCAUUACCUGAUAAUGAAGAGGUGGCCUUUCCAACCACUGAGGAGGAAGCAAUCCCACCCUCCAACAGACGGACACAACUUUAAAAAAAAAAGGAUGGAUCAUCAGGAGAUCGUGCAGUGAGACAUUCUUCCAAAGGUAAAGCUGCCCAGAAAAGGCGACCCUGGACACAGAAAGAGGUGAAGGCUGUCGAGAAGCACAUGAAGCAAUUCAUCCCUUCUGGUAUUGUACCAAGAAAGAGUGACUGUUUAAAAUGUUUGAGGGCCGAACCGGAAGCUCUCCAAAACCGGGAAUGGCAAGCGUUGAAGUUCUAUGUGUACAACCGCAUUACGGCCUACAAAAGGAGAUUGCAGCUA